RNAcentral lists this ribosomal RNA (1209 nucleotides) under Triticum aestivum (bread wheat). Its description in RNAcentral is "partial small subunit ribosomal RNA". The record is from RNAcentral. Lineage: Eukaryota; Viridiplantae; Streptophyta; Magnoliopsida; Poales; Poaceae.
AUGGAGCCGGCGGCGGCGGACGGGGCCUCGGACGAGCCGGUGCACAAGGGGCGGACCAACUCCAUCCUGCUCCCCAUCCUCGCCGUGCUCCUCGCCUACCUGCUCUACCGCUACCUCCGCCCGCGCCUCCGCGGCCUGCGCCUCGACCGCCUCCCGUUCCGCGUCCCGGACUGCCUCCGCCGCCGCGGCAAUGCCACCCGGACCACCCUGCUGCCCUACUUCGCGCCCAUCGCCGACCGCCUCGGCGCGCUGCAGCCCUACCUCGGCCCCAUCGCCGACCGCCUCGGCGGGUACGGCGGCGCCGACGCGCUCGUCAGGUUCCCCGGCGGCGAGGGCCUGUCGGUGGCCGCCAUCCUCGAGGCGCCUGGGGAGGUGGUGGCCAAGUCGUCGCACAGCACGCUCUACCGCGCCGCCAUGCGCUCCGGGGAGACGGCCGUGCUGCUCCGGUUCGUGCGGCCCGCGUGCGCCGUGGGCGCCGACGAGGCCGCCGCCGCCGCGCGCCGGAUCGGCGCCGUCAGCCACCCGAACCUCGUGCCGCUCCGCGCCGUGUACGUCGGGCCCAGGGGCGAGAAGCUGCUCGUGCACCCUUACGCCGCCGGCUCGCUCCACCGAUUCUUGCAAGAGGGGAUCGCCGACUCGCAGAGAUGGAGCCUGAUCUGCAAGCUCUCCGUGUGCAUCGCCAAGGGGCUCGACCACCUGCACACGGGGAUGGAGAAGCCGAUCAUCCACGGCAACCUCAAGACGAGCAACAUCCUCCUCGACGCCAGCUACGAGUGCAGGAUCUCGGACUACGGCCUCUACCUCCUGCUCAACACCGGCGGCGCCCACGAGAUGCUGGAGGCGUCGGCGGCGCAGGGGUACAAGGCGCCGGAGCUGGUCAAGAUGAGGGACGCCACCAGGGAGAGCGACGUGUACAGCCUGGGCGUGGUGCUGCUGGAGAUGCUCGCGCAGAAGGAGCCCGCCGGCGACGACGACCGCGCGCCCAGCUCCCGCGACAUCUUCCUGCCGGCGUCGUUCAAGAACCUGGUGCUCGAGAGGAAGAUCUCCGACGCCUUCAGCUCCGACCUCGUCAGGCAGAGCAGGAAGUCGGGGAACGAGAAGAAGCUGAACGCGUUCUUCGAGCUGGCCACGGCGUGCUGCAGCCCUUCGCCGUCGCUCCGGCCCAACACCAAGGAGAUACUCAGAAGGCUUGAGGAGAUAGCAAAAUAA